Molecule: small nuclear RNA, 59 nt
Organism: Xenopus tropicalis (tropical clawed frog)
Lineage: Eukaryota; Metazoa; Chordata; Amphibia; Anura; Pipidae
Gene: U7
Rfam family: U7 small nuclear RNA
About the family: Animal histone pre-mRNAs are spliced by a different mechanism than nuclear pre-mRNAs and self-splicing introns.
Source: Ensembl
AAGUGUUACAGCUCUUUUACUAUUUGUCCAGCAGGGUCUUACUGUGUAGGAGCUCCACU